Molecule: ribosomal RNA, 50 nt
Filed under: Jaculus jaculus (lesser Egyptian jerboa)
Lineage: Eukaryota; Metazoa; Chordata; Mammalia; Rodentia; Dipodidae
Source: RNAcentral
CACUUUGAACAUGCCCAACCUUGUCUGAUCUUGGAAGCUAAGCAGGGUUG